RNAcentral lists this ribosomal RNA (478 nucleotides) under uncultured bacterium. RNAcentral's name for it is "partial 16S ribosomal RNA". It matches the Rfam family "Bacterial small subunit ribosomal RNA", at positions 28 to 523 of the family's 1533-position model. The record is from RNAcentral.
GACGAACGCUGGCGGCGUGCUUAACACAUGCAAGUCGAACGGUAAGGCCCUUCGGGGUACACGAGUGGCGAACGGGUGAGUAACACGUGGGUGAUCUGCCCUGCACUUCGGGAUAAGCCUGGGAAACUGGGUCUAAUACCGGAUAGAACUCCUGGCUUCAUGGUUGGGGGUGGAAAGCUUUUGCGGUGUGGGAUAGGCCCGCGGCCUAUCAGCUUGUUGGUGGGGUAAUGGCCUACCAAGGCGACGACGGGUAGCCGGCCUGAGAGGGUGACCGGUCACACUGGGACUGAGAUACGGCCCAGACUCCUACGGGAGGCAGCAGUGGGGAAUAUUGCACAAGGGGCGCAAGUCUGGUGCAGCGACGCCGCGUGAGGGAUGACGGCCUUCGGGUUGUAAACCUCUUUCAGCUAUGACGAAGCGCAAGUGACGGUAGUAGCAGAAGAAGGACCGGCCAACUACGUGCCAGCAGCCGCCGUAA